CACUCUUGUUUCUCUUCAAAUCGUAUAAAUCUUUCACCUUUUAUUAAAGACUUAUUAAAGAGAGGAGCAGCAAGAGUUUAAAUUAAUUUUUUGACACUCUGGGGCAGUCGUGGCCUAAU
RNAcentral lists this small nuclear RNA (119 nucleotides) under Mastacembelus armatus (zig-zag eel). Its description in RNAcentral is "U5 spliceosomal RNA (ENSMAMG00000008043.2)". It matches the Rfam family "U5 spliceosomal RNA". Rfam says of the family: U5 RNA is a component of both types of known spliceosome. The precise function of this molecule is unknown, though it is known that the 5' loop is required for splice site selection and p220 binding, and that both the 3' stem-loop and the Sm site are important for Sm protein binding and cap methylation. The record is from RNAcentral. Lineage: Eukaryota; Metazoa; Chordata; Actinopteri; Synbranchiformes; Mastacembelidae.